UACCCUAUAAGAUGGAAAUUGUUUCCACAUACCUGAAAGCCAAUUAAGGAGCCAGAGUUUUCUCAGAGAAAAACAAAAUUUUGUUACAUAUUUCUACAUGUUUGGUUACGUUGAUGAAUGUUAACUGUUGGACAGGUUAAUUGACGGCAUUGAGAAUAUCAUUACAUGUAUUGUAGUAUGAAUUCUCGCCCGAGACAUCUCACCCUGGAACAGUGAAAAUCUUGGGGCUGCUGCAGAAGUCAUUGAGUGGAUGAUUGCUACUUUAUAUUGCACUGCUACAAU
RNAcentral lists this unclassified non-coding RNA (282 nucleotides) under Hevea brasiliensis (rubber tree). The record is from RNAcentral. Lineage: Eukaryota; Viridiplantae; Streptophyta; Magnoliopsida; Malpighiales; Euphorbiaceae.